UACAGAGGUCUCAAGCGUUGUUCGGAUUUAUUGGGCGUAAAGCGCGCGCAGGCGGUUUCUUAAGUCUGAUGUGAAAGCCCCCGGCUCAACCGGGGAGGGUCAUUGGAAACUGGGAAACUUGAGUGCAGGAGAGAAGAGCGGAAUUCCACGUGUAGCGGUGAAAUGCGUAGAGAUGUGGAGGAACACCAGUGGCGAAGGCGGCUCUUUGGCCUGUAACUGACGCUGAGGCGCGAAAGCGUGGGGAGCAAACAGG
Molecule: ribosomal RNA, 253 nt
Filed under: uncultured bacterium
Lineage: Bacteria
Description: partial 16S ribosomal RNA
Rfam family: Bacterial small subunit ribosomal RNA
Source: RNAcentral